This 197-nucleotide ribosomal RNA is filed under the name uncultured soil bacterium. RNAcentral describes it as "partial 16S ribosomal RNA". It matches the Rfam family "Bacterial small subunit ribosomal RNA", at positions 335 to 524 of the family's 1533-position model. The record is from RNAcentral.
ACUCCUACGGGAGGCAGCAGUAGGGAAUAUUGCGCAAUGGACGAAAGUCUGACGCAGCAACGCCGCGUGGGUGAUGAAGCAUUUCGGUGUGUAAAACCCUGUCAGUGGGGAAGAAAAGUAUCGAGAGUAACUGCUCGGUACCUGACGGUACCCGCAGAGGAAGUCCCGGCUAACUCCGUGCCAGCAGCCGCGGUAAU